AAAUGCUCACUGUGCUGUUGGGUGCAUUGAGCGCCUCGUGACCGAAGCUAACGCGUUAAUUUCCCCCCCGGGGGAUACGGCCGCAAGGAUAAAACUCCAAUGAAUUGACGGGGGCCCGCACAAGCGGUGGAACAUGUGGUUUAAUUCCAAGCAACGCGAAAAACCUUACCCUGGCUUGACAUCCACUGAACUUUCCAGAAAUUGAUUGGUGCCUUCCGGAACUUUGAAACAGGUGCUGCAUGGCUGUCCUCCGCUCGUGUUGUGAAAUGUUGGGUUAAGUCCCGUAACGAGCGCAACCCUUGUCCUUUGUUUCCAGCACGUAAUGGUGGGAACUCCAAGGGAACUGCCGGUGAAAAACCGGAAGAAGGUGGGGAUGACCUCCAGUCAUCAUGGCCCUUACGAACUGGGCUACACACGUGCUACAAUGGUCUGUACAAAAGGGUGCCAAACCCCGAGAGGGAACCCAUUCCAUAAAACCCAUUCUAAUCCGGAAUGGAAUCUGCCACUCCACCUCCUGAAAUCCGAAUCCCUUGUUAUCGCAAAUCAAAAUGUCCCGGGUGAAUACAUUUUCCCGGGCCUUUUACACACCCCCCCGUCACACCCUGGGGAGUGGGUUGCACACCAAAUAAGUAGUCUUACCUUUCUCGGGGAGACGCUUUCCCCUUUGUGAUUCAUGACAGGGGGGGAAUCUCAAAGGGGA
RNAcentral lists this ribosomal RNA (700 nucleotides) under Pseudomonas koreensis. RNAcentral describes it as "bacterial SSU rRNA". It matches the Rfam family "Bacterial small subunit ribosomal RNA", at positions 804 to 1498 of the family's 1533-position model. Lineage: Bacteria; Pseudomonadati; Pseudomonadota; Gammaproteobacteria; Pseudomonadales; Pseudomonadaceae. The record is from RNAcentral.